UACGUAGGGGGCUAGCGUUGUCCGGAAUCAUUGGGCGUAAAGCGCGUGUAGGCGGUCCGGUAAGUCCGCUGUGAAAGUCGGGGGCUCAACCCUCGAAUGCCGGUGGAUACUGUCGGGCUAGAGUGCGGAAGAGGCGAGUGGAAUUCCUGGUGUAGCGGUGAAGUGCGCAGAUAUCAGGAGGAACACCUAUUGCGAAGGCAGCUCGCUGGGACGUAACUGACGCUGAGACGCGAAAGCGUGGGGAGCAAACAGG
RNAcentral lists this ribosomal RNA (253 nucleotides) under uncultured bacterium. RNAcentral describes it as "partial 16S ribosomal RNA". It matches the Rfam family "Bacterial small subunit ribosomal RNA", at positions 524 to 776 of the family's 1533-position model. The record is from RNAcentral.